This 299-nucleotide unclassified non-coding RNA is filed under the name uncultured Agaricomycetes. RNAcentral describes it as "sequence contains ITS2". Lineage: Eukaryota; Fungi; Basidiomycota; Agaricomycetes. The record is from RNAcentral.
AACGCACCUUGCGCUCCUUGGCAUUCCGAGGAGCAUGCCUGUUUGAGUGUCGUUGAAUUCUCAAAUCCUGUCCUUCUUUGGGGGUUGGGUUUGGAUUGGUGGAGGAUGCAUGGCUGGGCCCCCCCAGUGGGGUGCUCUGCUUCUCUGAAAUGGAUUGGCGUCGCGGCUGUGAUCACGAACCUGUCGUCGGUAUGAUACACACAUCUUACCUGCUUCUAAUCCGUGGCGAGCCCGGCCGGACAACACAAAUUCUCUCAUGAUUUGACCUCAAAUCAGGCAGGACUACCCGCUGAACUUAA